Long non-coding RNA from Numida meleagris (helmeted guineafowl), 3221 nucleotides. RefSeq lists it as uncharacterized. Lineage: Eukaryota; Metazoa; Chordata; Aves; Galliformes; Numididae. The record is from RefSeq and is a predicted model, not a curated record. The transcript has 9 exons.
GGCUGUAAACACACAAUGAUGAACACGUCACAUCCAACAGGAUUAGUUUUGAGGAGAAGACACAUGUUGCUGCCUUAUUUCUUUGCUUUCCUGGAUCUACUGGUGGGAAGGCGACGUGGAUACCUGCUCAGAGUUGCUCCCACGAGGGCCUUUGCUGGGGCAGAAUGAGGGAGAAUAUCUGCAAGCAAAGCUGCCACCCAAUUGGAUGGCCCUGUUGUAUGAUGGCAACCCACUGCUGAUUGAAGCAGUCUCGCAAAAUGCUCCCUUUUGGUGGAAGGCAUUAAGAAAUCGAUCUUUUGGUGGAAAUGGGCAAGACUGGCUGGAUGCUUUCAAAAGAUACGUUCUCUAUAUAAUAACGUUAAUGAAGAUUUCAUUCUAGGAAAAACGUAUUUAGUAUGAUGAUACAGAUGUACUCUGAUUGCAUGAAUGUAAUACAGGAAAACUCGUGCCCUUUACAUGUGUGUAGCUUGCUGUAGUAAAUCAAGUACUAUAUCUUUAAACACAUUACGGAAUCAUUGGCAGUUAAGUCACAUAUUUAGCUUUUGCUUUUAUAUUCUCUGUUAUGAUAGUGUUUGCAUCAGCAUCUUUGUGCUACAGAAAUUCUAUAAAUAAUUCAUGCCUUUAUUUAAAUAACUGUGGAUUUAUUUCCAAUUGGCAUGGAAAAAGCCUUUAUUUUCUGUAUCAUUGUGCACAGUUGUCAUACUAGCCUCUUAUUUCAAAAUGUUUGUGAUUCACUCAGAACACAUCAGUAAAUCAAAUUACAGCCAACUUAGCCUGAAAUUUAAUUAGAUGAUCAACGAUCAUAGUUCUCUACUUUCCUAAUAUAAAGUGUCUUAUUGCAGACGGUUUACAAGGCCUUGUCUCCAUACCAGAAGGCAUUACUCUUGAAACAACACGGCAAAACAUUUAAAAAGUUCUAUUGAUUGGCCUCUCUUGAAUAACAAUGGGCCCUAAGAGUCAUUCUGGAUUACUUAAUGAUGUGUAACUGGUCUUAGCAAAGCAGCAAGGAAUGUAACUGUUCUUGUGGCUCUCCUGGCUCUGCAACCCUCGUUCUUGUAGCACUGGUCAACCUCUGGCCUCAGGGUCCCUUGUGAUGUGGAAGUUCUGGUGCAUCUCGCUGGCUGCAGCUCACAGAAGGGAUAUGAAGUUCUGGGAACUCCAUUCUCGUGAUGCAAGCCAAGCUGCGUUGCUCAGGAGAGAUACAGGAGCUGCACCAAGCUGACACAGCCCUGGCUGGGCAUACAUUUCCAGAUUAGCAAGAUGUGUUAUGGAGAUACCAGCAAUGUGGAGAAGUUGUGCUGAUGGCAGUGUGGGAUGGCAGGAGGAGAACCACAGGCUAGGACAAGGAAUGGACUUAGAGCACUCAGCCCUGCAUCUCCUACGGCUGCCCACGCGUUCAGCUCUGUCUUCUGCUGACCAUGGCAGGUGGCCAGUGCAUAUUCAGCACUUCUCUACGCUGAUAUUUCAUCUUAGAAGGAAAACAAACCCUGGAGUUAUGCAUAGGAAGUUGAGAACUCAGUAUGUCUGCGCCGAGUUCCUCUCUUUGAUGGACUGGAAAUUGCUCUCUGCUCUUCAGCUGGAGACAAAACCUUUUUCUCCCUUAAGAGAAAGACUGCAAACAAGCUGCAGCUCACAGGUGUGUUGUUGGAGGGAGUUUCUGCAGCCUCUGCUAUCGGUGUGCAGCUCCAAUGCUGGGCACAAUUAUGAGUCUGUCAUUUCGAAUUACACUCUUAUUCCCAGCAUCCAGCAAUCUAUGAAACCAGAGCCACGUUUCAGAUUCCCGAGCCUAUAAAUUCUUCCAUUGUCAACGUUUGUUUUCAGAUUGAAGACAAGUGUAACGUUUCAGGUAAUGAAAAAGAUAUCGCUCUGAAUCUGUAAGUCCCUUACGUUGUUUUGAAAUCCUGCUUGCAUGCUACAUGUGGAUUCGAAAUGCUCUUGCUGCAUUUGUUCAUUGUAAUAAGUUCUGUAAAAAUAUUCCCCAUUAGUUUGCUUUGUGCUGAAGCUGGCACUAUUAGCUAUUCCACUCGAAUGCUCCGGUUAGAAAACUGUGAAUUUCUUUUCUUCUGUGAUUUUCUCCUCUGUGUUUUUCAUCUCAUCACUGAGAUGGAAAUAUUUUACCAGUUAAAUGGAGAAAAGAGCAGUUAAGGCAGAUGCUGUUUCAUCAUCUGCUAACACAGAGGUCCUCAGCAUGCAGAAUGGUGGCUUACUGCAACAAAUUAAGUGUACAAACUCUUCAUGCGGAAGAAAUGAUUUCUGAAUCCCCUCUGAAACCCCAUUUCUUCUGUAGAAAGAUGAGUUAAUGAAGAAAAUUACAAUUUCAUGUCUGUUAGUGCUAUAGAGAAACUUACUCUUUCUCUCAAAAGUAGUUUUCUAUUCUUUGUUGUUAUUUUAAAUUCCUUCAGCCAUGAUUUGGAUACAGUGGCUGUGAUUAUUCCUGUAGCUGAAACUUCCAUUUACUGCCUCUUCACUCAGGCAGAGUGAUGCCCUGUUACUGAGAAGGCACCUUGAUCUCUACAGGGUAGAAUCAUAGAACCACAGAAUAUCCUGAGCUGGAAGGGACACUUCAGGAUCAUCGAGUCUGGCUCUUGGCUCCACACAGGACCACCCAAAAUGAGCAAAAAGAAUAUAUAUCUUUCCUGUGCAAGAAGGCAUUAAAUCAUCUCUAAAGUUGUUUCACUCACACUAAAGGCUCUAGGAAAUCGCAUGUGGGGGUCUGGAGCCAGCGCUCAGAGAGCUGGGAAAGCAGCAGUGACCGCGCAGAGCUGUGGUGCACAUCCUAUGGGUGAACGAGCUCCACCUGCGAUCUGAGCUUCAAUAGCCAUGGGGGAAAGCUUACCAGCCUGCAUGGAAUUUUUUGGAAAAAGCAUCAGAGCAUGCUCUGUGAACUCUCUUAUGUGCUGGGAAUCUCCUUUCCAGGAAAAUCCUAGGAUUUAACAAUGAAAGGGGAGAAGGAAGUGCUUUGAUUUUGAAGAGGACAAGAGGGAAAUGCGAAUUGGAGACAUCUUUCAGAAGAGCCCUGGAUGUAUGAUGGUGCUCUUCAAGCUGUGUCUUGCAUCUUAAACAGAGCUUGAAAGGUUAACAAAACCCACAGACAGCCACACCGUGCUGAUUCAGUACAUUUUACAGAGUCCUUUGCACUAGGAAGCCUGGAUGGUUCCCAAGAGCGAGCAAUCUGGAAAUAAAAAUGUGUCUGAUCAAUAAAACGAAACGACUUGAGGAAA